This 490-nucleotide ribosomal RNA is filed under the name uncultured bacterium. RNAcentral's name for it is "partial 16S ribosomal RNA". It matches the Rfam family "Bacterial small subunit ribosomal RNA", at positions 29 to 507 of the family's 1533-position model. The record is from RNAcentral.
AGUGAACGCUGGCGGUAGGCCUAACACAUGCAAGUCGAACGGCAGCACAGGAGAGCUUGCUCUCUAGGUGGCGAGGGGCGGACGGGUGAGGAAUGCAUAGGAAUCUGCCCAGUCGUGGGGGAUAACGUGGGGAAACUGACGCUAAUACCGCAUACGACCUUCGGGUGAAAGAGGGGGAUCGAAAGACGUCUCGCGAGUGGCUGAGCCGAGGUCGGAUUAGCUAGUUGGCGGGGUAAUGGCCCACCAAGGCGACGAUCCGUAGCUGGUCUGAGAGGAUGAUCGGCCACACUGGAACUGAGACACGGUCCAGACUCCUACGGGAGGCAGCAGUGGGGAAUAUUGGACAAUGGGCGCAGGCCUGAUCCAGCCAUACCGCGUGGGUGAAGAAGGCCUUCGGGUUGUAAAGCCCUUUUGUUGGGAAAGAAAUCUUUCAGGCUAAUACCCUGGGAGGAUGACGGUACCCAAAGAAUAAGCACCGGCUAACUUCGUG